GCAGCGUUUGCAGCCCAACAAACCCCGCCCUUCAGCGCCCAAGAAAGGCUGCUUGUGUCAAAGGGGAGGGGAGAGGGGGACAAACACUGUGCGAUUUACAGGCGUUGUUACACUGGAACAUUUCUGUGACGUGAAAGGAUGUGACCUUCAGGGUUUCUACUGAUCUCUGUGCAGAGAAUCCGAGUGCUGACCCUGCAGUCCCACUGGACACAGCCCAACCCCCAGGAGAAGCCAUCAACCAUCCAGUGCUUGGUGUGUCGAGCACCACCACAGACUGGGGUUUGACAUUUUCAAGGCUUCCUGCACCAGGGUUAUUAUUCAAAAUCCUGGUUGACAUCCUAACAGGAGCAGAGACUGGGCCACAAAAUUGCAGCCUCCUUACCCCCAUCAGACACGUUGUUGGAAGCCAGUUUGGUCCUUGACUGUCUCCUUGCAAGCCAGGAACAACCACCAGCUCCUGGCUGGAGAAACUGGCUGGUGACAGCAGGACUGCAAGUGGUGCCAAGCACGUGGCACUGCCACCCACAGAGCUGUCCCUGUCCCAGAGACGGGCAUCCCUGUGGAGCAGCACAUCCAGCAGGAGCGAUGGGCAGGUGGCUCCAGCUGGGUGCCAGAGGGCACAGAACGAGGCUGCAGCACACUCAGCUCAGGCUUGGCACAUCUGCACCACACCCCCAGCAAAAAAUGAUACAGAUUUCACAAGUACACGCUAGAACAACUAGGCAAAUACUACCAGACUCUCAAAAAAAAUUAAUUCCCAGAUAGUACCUAAUGAGCCAAAGCAACAUUUUCCUUUUGUUUCUACUUGACCAGAUACUCGUGCAUGUGUGCACAAUGUACCAACUGGGAAAACCAUUCCAAAGCCCCAGUUAUUCAUGAUAAAGGUUGCCUAUGCAAUCUUUGCCAUCAGUUAACUAAGUUAAACCAAAAUUCAGAGAGAUUUCUGCUCAUUAAUUAGAAAAGAAUCCUGGGAUAACCUGGAAGUAUAGCUGUGCUGUUCACUGUACCACCAUAUCAAUAUUCAGCCAUUAAAAGCUGACAUUUCCUUGAAAUCAUUAAAAAUUAAAUAAUAAAUGUUACUUUUUAGUACCAAUUACUCCAUAGGGCCUAUCUUCAAGAGCAUUAAAAAUUAAAAUCAUGCUACUCCCAGGGUAGACCUGUUUCAUGCUAUCUAUCGAGAUGAUCAAUACCACAGGUAUUAAUCAAUGCCAAAGGUUGUACCACUUGCAUUAUGCUUGUUCCUCAACUACAACACAUUAACCAAAUCUAAAUUGAAGAUUAUAUUCAUUACAAAGUGGUGUUUCAGCUGCAAAGUCCAACUACAAAUUGUAGUUUUUGCUCUUCUCUGGUUUUAGAUUUAAUUAUUUUUUAAAGUCAUUUUUUAGCAUGUUGCAAUAUUUGCUUCUGUAUUUAUUUUGGGGCUUGAUGGAUAGUGCAAUCAGUCCCUGAACUUUACCCAUCAUUUUCCAUGCCACUGGAGCCUGACCUAAGGAAGGAAGAAUGUGAAACACAGUAUCUUCAUCUUGUUCUAAACAAAAAAAAGCCCCUCUAAACCAGGCUUCAACAGCAGCUGCAAAAGGAGAGGAACCAGGGUCUUCUGCUUCCCUGAAACCCUUCAUUUCUGCUUCCAUUUUCUUUCAGACCUGGUCUCUGCUCAGGAUGGGAAAUUCUGGGGUUUUAAACCAAAACAAACUCCAUUAUUCUCGAGGCCUCAAAUUCCGGGGUUGGAAAUGUGCUUUCAGAUCAGCACCACCCCUGCCAGGCUGGUUGUAAAAUAAAUCUGAAAGUUGGGCCUGAAGGCAAAAAAAGAAAACUUGCCUUCCAAUUUUUACCAAAACCUUCUGGCCUCGGCCCUCUUUUUUUUUUCUCCCUUUUCUUUCUUUCUCUCUUCCCAUUCCCACGAAUUUCAGGCAUGACGUAUGAAGCCUUGAACAUUUAAAUUACUUACAUAUCAACAACAAUACAUUACUAAACACUGCAUCAUAUUUUUCCUGAUAUUUUACAGCCUUUUAUUAAAAGAUUAAACUUUAAGAACCUGAUUCUGCAGGGGCAAGGGACCAAAAAAGUCCUUCAGGACUUUUCUUGCUAUAUAUUUAGGUUCUGAAAAAGCAUUCUAUGGAUUUCAGAGAGCUGGCAAUUUUGUCCAAGUAGAAGAUAAAAAACUAGAUUUUGAACAAUAAUUCCCCAAAAAAGAGGAAAACCUCACAACCACCGAGCAUGACAGGGCCCUUUGAAAUGCAUUUAAGUAUCUAGAGAUAAUUAAAUUUUUUUAAAGCUUGUCCUGUUGAUAAAGUAUAAAGAUUACUUAUUCAAAUAAGGCUUAAACUCUAACACACUGAGCACUAAUGUAAUGAUCCACAGAGAUUUACACCAGAGAUCUCCUAUUGGUGCUUACAGGAACAAAGGUCAGCACCACACUAAUUUAAGGUCAGCUACUUAUUUACCUAAAACAAUUUAAUAUUAUGGCUGUAAAUUCUGAAAAAUCAGACACUUUUAUCUAGUAUUUGACAGAAUUAUGAAAGGUCCAAAGCAAACAGGAUUAAGGGUAUAUUUCAAGCAGAUUUUUAGAGAAAAUAUCCCCACCCUGCUGUAGCCUGCAUGCAGUUUUUUAAAAAUAUUAAAACAUGACCUGCAAAUUACCUGGGGCUUUACAGUUAAUGGAUAGUACUGUUAGAUUAUUAAUAAUCUCGAAAUUUCCAAGGAGCACGGAGUAAAUUGGGACUACGCCGGUAUUUGUGCCGUGCAUACCAAAACAAGCCCUUCAUUAAUAUGCUCUGUAGGACUGGAAAAGAUCUGCAGUGUCACACGAGCCGUUUCACCUACAUAAAGUAUUUAUUCUUCUGCAUUGCUCCUAUUUACCCAUUUUAACCCGCAGCUUUUAUAAUCCUGCACGUGGCACAAAUAGACUCCACACCUUCGGCUACAUUUCACAAUCAGAUAAAUACGCGCUACAGACACCAUUAGCUGAAAACGACCCAUGGCAUCUCAAAGGAAUAAAAUAAGGAAAGAAGGUAAAAGAAUAAAUACCCUUAUCCUUCCAA
This is a long non-coding RNA of Haemorhous mexicanus (house finch), 3041 nucleotides long. RefSeq lists it as uncharacterized. The record is from RefSeq and is a predicted model, not a curated record. NCBI's taxonomy places the organism in Eukaryota, Metazoa, Chordata, Aves, Passeriformes, Fringillidae. The transcript has 2 exons.